RNAcentral lists this ribosomal RNA (433 nucleotides) under uncultured bacterium. Its description in RNAcentral is "partial 16S ribosomal RNA". It matches the Rfam family "Bacterial small subunit ribosomal RNA", at positions 29 to 507 of the family's 1533-position model. The record is from RNAcentral.
AACGAACGCUGGCGGCAUGCCUAACACAUGCAAGUCGAACGAGACCUUCGGGUCUAGUGGCGCACGGGUGCGUAACGCGUGGGAACCUGCCCUUAGGUUCGGAAUAACUCCCCGAAAGGGGUGCUAAUACCGGAUAAUGUCUUCGGACCAAAGAUUUAUCGCCUUUGGAUGGGCCCGCGUUGGAUUAGCUAGUUGGUAGGGUAAAAGCCUACCAAGGCGACGAUCCAUAGCUGGUCUGAGAGGAUGAUCAGCCACACUGGGACUGAGACACGGCCCAGACUCCUACGGAAGGCAGCAGUAGAGAAUAUUGGACAAUGGGCGAAAGCCUGAUCCAGCAAUGCCGCGUGAGUGAUGAAGGCCUUAGGGUUGUAAAGCUCUUUUACCCGGGAUGAUAAUGACAGUACCGGGAGAAUAAGCUCCGGCUAACUCCGUG